RNAcentral lists this non-coding RNA (29 nucleotides) under Rattus norvegicus (Norway rat). The record is from RNAcentral. Lineage: Eukaryota; Metazoa; Chordata; Mammalia; Rodentia; Muridae.
UCUUAGAACUGGCAGGGCUGUCGUCCCAC